Molecule: ribosomal RNA, 383 nt
Filed under: uncultured bacterium
Lineage: Bacteria
Description: bacterial SSU rRNA
Rfam family: Bacterial small subunit ribosomal RNA
Source: RNAcentral
CCUGAACGCUGGCGGCGUGGCUAAGACAUGCAAGUCGUACGGAUGGAGCAAUCCAUCAGUGGCGGACGGGUGAGUAAUGUAUCGCUAAUGUACCCUUCACUCUGGGAUAGCUGUGGGAAACUACAGGUAAUACCAGAUGACAUAACCGAAUCGCAUGGUUUGGUUCUCAAAGGAGCAAUACGGUGAGGGAGCAGGCGAUAUCGUAUCAGCUAGUUGGUGAGGUAACGGCUCACCAAGGCGACGACGCGUAGCUGGUCUGAGAGGACGGCCAGCCACAUUGGGACUGAGACACUGCCCAGACUCCUACGGGGGGCUGCAGUAACGAAUCUUCCGCAAUGCACGCAAGUGUGACGGAGCGACGCCGCGUGGAGGUUAAGUCCUGG